RNAcentral lists this ribosomal RNA (855 nucleotides) under uncultured archaeon. RNAcentral's name for it is "bacterial SSU rRNA". It matches the Rfam family "Archaeal small subunit ribosomal RNA", at positions 19 to 859 of the family's 1478-position model. The record is from RNAcentral.
GGACCCGACUGCUAUUUGGGUGAGAAUAAGCCAUGCGAGUUGAAUGGGAUGCCUAAAUUUCCCAUAGCAAACUGCUCAGUAACACAUGAUCAACUUACCCUAUAGAGAAAAAUAACCUCGGGAAACUGAGGAUAAUAUUUCAUAGUUGAAACGGCUUGGAAAAGUGUUUCGACCAAAGGGAUAAGAAAAAUGGUUCUUCUCCGCUAUAGGAUAGGAUCGUGCUCGAUCAUGGUUGUUGGUGAGGUAACGGCUCACCAAGCCGAUAAUCGAUAGGGGCCGUGAGAGCGGGAGCCCCGAGAUGGGUACUGAGACAACGACCCAGGCCUUACGAGGCGCAGCAGGCGCGAAACCUCCGCAAUACACGAAAGUGUGACGGGGUUACCCAAAGUGUUCAUUAUUGAACUGUGGUAGGUGAGUAAUGUCCCCUACUAGAAAGGAGAGGGCAAGGCUGGUGCCAGCCGCCGCGGUAAAACCAGCUCUUCAAGUGGUCGGGAUAAUUAUUGGGCUUAAAGUGUCCGUAGCCGGUUUAGUAAGUUCCUGGUAAAAUCGGGUAGCUUAACUAUCUGUAUGCUAGGAAUACUGCUAUACUAGAGGGCGGGAGAGGUCUGAGGUACUACAGGGGUAGGGGUGAAAUCUUAUAAUCCUUGUAGGACCACCAGUGGCGAAGGCGUCAGACUGGAACGUGCCUGACGGUGAGGGACGAAAGCCAGGGGAGCGAACCGGAUUAGAUACCCGGGUAGUCCUGGCCGUAAACGAUGCAUACUAGGUGAUGGCACGGCCAUGAGCCGUGUCAGUGCCGUAGGGAAACCGUUAAGUGUGCCGCCUGGGAAGUACGGUCGCAAGGCUAAAACUUAA